RNAcentral lists this ribosomal RNA (200 nucleotides) under uncultured bacterium. RNAcentral describes it as "partial 16S ribosomal RNA". It matches the Rfam family "Bacterial small subunit ribosomal RNA", at positions 328 to 539 of the family's 1533-position model. The record is from RNAcentral.
ACGCUCGACACCUACGGGAGGCAGCAGUUGGGAAUAUUGGACAAUGGAGGGAAACUCUGAUCCAGUGACGCCGCGUGAAGGAAGAAGGUCUUCGGAUUGUAAACUUAUUUUGUCAGGGAAGAAAAAAUGACUGUACCUGAAGAAAAGCACCGGCUAACUACGUGCCAACAGCCGCGGUAAUCUGAGCGGGCUGGCAAGGC